GUGAAUCAUCAAAUCUUUGAACGCAAAUUGCACUCUCUUCGGAGAGGAUGCGUGUUUGAGUGUCAGCCUAAAAAAAAUCGACAUCGUUGCUGUUUCUCUGUGGCGUUCGUCGGAAAUUUGGGUAUCUUAAAUCGUUGGUUUAAGCGACUUAAAAUUUUCUUUACGAUGCCAUGAACGUUUCCAAUAUUUAUUGCUUUACACGUUUAAGGUACCUAUUGUAUUAGGCGUUGUCGUCAUAG
Molecule: unclassified non-coding RNA, 239 nt
Filed under: Glomus sp.
Lineage: Eukaryota; Fungi; Glomeromycota; Glomeromycetes; Glomerales; Glomeraceae
Description: partial contains 5.8S ribosomal RNA and internal transcribed spacer 2
Rfam family: 5.8S ribosomal RNA (bases 1-65)
Source: RNAcentral